This 310-nucleotide ribosomal RNA is filed under the name uncultured bacterium. Its description in RNAcentral is "bacterial SSU rRNA". It matches the Rfam family "Bacterial small subunit ribosomal RNA", at positions 607 to 915 of the family's 1533-position model. The record is from RNAcentral.
GCUUAACCUGGGAACUGCGCUUGUGACUGGAAGGCUAGAGUACGGCAGAGGGGGGUGGAAUUCCACGUGUAGCAGUGAAAUGCGUAGAGAUGUGGAGGAACACCGAUGGCGAAGGCAGCCCCCUGGGCCGAUACUGACGCUCAUGCACGAAAGCGUGGGGAGCAAACAGGAUUAGAUACCCUGGUAGUCCACGCCCUAAACGAUGUCAACUAGGUGUUGGGUGGGUAAAACCAUUUAGUACCGGAGCUAACGCGUGAAGUUGACCGCCUGGGGAGUACGGCCGCAAGGUUAAAACUCAAAGGAAUUGACG